Molecule: ribosomal RNA, 965 nt
Filed under: Gemmatimonas sp. URHD0086
Lineage: Bacteria; Pseudomonadati; Gemmatimonadota; Gemmatimonadia; Gemmatimonadales; Gemmatimonadaceae
Description: bacterial SSU rRNA
Rfam family: Bacterial small subunit ribosomal RNA
Source: RNAcentral
UGCAAGUCACGGGGGUCCCGGGGGCAACUCUGGGAUAACCGGCGAACGGGUGCGUAACACGUGAACAACCUGCCCUCGUGUGGGGGAUAGCCGGGCUAACGCCCGGGUAAUACCGCAUACGUUCUCUUGGAGGAGUCUCUGGGAGAGGAAAGCUCCGGCGCACGGGGAGGGGUUCGCGGCCUAUCAGCUAGUUGGCGGGGUAAUGGCCCACCAAGGCGACGACGGGUAGCUGGUCUGAGAGGAUGGCCAGCCACAUUGGGACUGAGAGACGGCCCAGACUCCUACGGGAGGCAGCAGUGGGGAAUCUUGCGCAAUGGUCGAAAGACUGACGCAGCGACGCCGCGUGUGGGAGGACGCCUUUCGGGGUGUAAACCACUGUUGCCCGGGACGAACAGCCUUUUUCGAGAGGUCUGACGGUACCGGGUGAGGAAGCACCGGCUAACUCCGUGCCAGCAGCCGCGGUAAUACGGAGGGUGCGAGCGUUGUCCGGAAUCAUUGGGCGUAAAGGGCGCGUAGGUGGCCCGGUCAGUUCGUGGUGAAAGCGCGGGGCUCAACCCUGCGUCGGCCAUGAAUACUGCCGCGGCUGGAGCACUGUAGAGGCAGGCGGAAUUCCGGGUGUAGCGGUGGAAUGCGUAGAGAUCCGGAAGAACACCGGUGGCGAAGGCGGCCUGCUGGGCAGUUGCUGACACUGAGGCGCGACAGCGUGGGGAGCAAACAGGAUUAGAUACCCUGGUAGUCCACGCCGUAAACGAUGGGCACUAGGCGCUUGGGGGAGCGACCCCCCGAGGGCCGGCGCUAACGCAUUAAGUGCCCCGCCUGGGGAGUACGGCCGCAAGGCUGAAACUCAAAGGAAUUGACGGGGGCCCGCACAAGCGGUGGAGCAUGUGGUUUAAUUCGACGCAACGCGAAGAACCUUACCUAGNCUUGACNUACNUGGGAAACGCCUCANAACGGGGCGCCCUCUU